UAAAUCUCUUCUAUGAAAUUUGCAGCUUGGU
Molecule: non-coding RNA, 31 nt
Filed under: Rattus norvegicus (Norway rat)
Lineage: Eukaryota; Metazoa; Chordata; Mammalia; Rodentia; Muridae
Source: RNAcentral